CCUACGGGUGGCAGCAGUGGGGAAUAUUGCACAAUGGGGGAAACCCUGAUGCAGCGACGCCGCGUGAGUGAAGAAGUAUUUCGGUAUGUAAAGCUCUAUCAGCAGGGAAGAAGAAAGACGGUACCUGACUAAGAAGCCCCGGCUAACUACGUGCCAGCAGCCGCGGUAAUACGUAGGGGGCAAGCGUUAUCCGGAUUUACUGGGUGUAAAGGGAGCGUAGACGGCUGUGCAAGUCUGAAGUGAAAGCCCAGGGCUGAACACUGGGACUGCUUUGGAAACUGUGGAGCUAGAGUGCUGGAGAGGUAAGUGGAAUUACUAGUGUAGCGGUGAAAUGCGUAGAUAUUAGGAGGAACACCAGGGGCGAAGGCAGCUUACCAAGCUACUUCUGACGUUGAGGCACGAAAGCGUGGGGAGCAAACAGGAUUAGAUACCCGGGUAGUC
Molecule: ribosomal RNA, 441 nt
Filed under: uncultured bacterium
Lineage: Bacteria
Description: partial 16S ribosomal RNA
Rfam family: Bacterial small subunit ribosomal RNA
Source: RNAcentral